AGUGUUUGCAUUAUGGUAUUUUUCUGUAUUGAGUUUUGAGUUGUAACUAUACAGUUAAAAUAUGUAGGAAUGCAGUUUUGCUUACUCUGCUUGACAGAAGUCUAGUCUUUCCUGUGUCUUUGAAUACUUUCUAUAGGCCAGAAAAUAGAAUAUAAAUUAAAAAUUAUUUUAAUGUGUUCCUCUAAUGGACACGGACCUUGAAAGUAUGCAAUCUCUUUGAAAAAGGGGGUAAAGGAGAAAGAAGCUUUUGCCUUGCUGUACAUAAUCCUUUCAACUAGGGGUUGAACCUCACCAUUUUUUUUUUUUGCUCUCAGCCUAUCAUCAAUAAACACUGAUACUGUAUAAUUUUAAUACAACUGAUGCACUUUUGAAUGUCUUGAGUUACAUCAAUAUUACAACCCAUAAAUCAUUUUAGAAUAUUUGAUGCCAUUUUUGAAAUCCUGUUCAUUAAAUUAUUGAGGCAAAAUUUGUGUGCUUUCUCUGGGGUUUUUGAUCCAUUAUCUGUGUUGCUGGUUCUGAUACUUUCUGUAAGAAAAAGAAAUAUUUGAAUUGCAUGCAUGUGCAUAAUCUGGAACUUAAUGUUUUAAGUAAUACUUUUAUAAUUUUGCUGUACUGGGAAGGAUUUUGUUUUAGUGCAGUUCCUCUGCAGGAAUCCUUGUAUCAACUGAAACUUGCAGAUAGAACUCUUAAGGUUGGGUCCAAUAACAGUGUAGGUUUGGAAGGUGAUUUGCACAGCAGUAUGGCCAUUCCUCCUUCACACGUCCAUAUGGUCUUUCUAGAAACUAAUUAUAUAGAGAGUUGUAAUUCAGGGGACCUUUCCUUCCAGUAAAAGAGUAAAAUAUGUAAUGAGUAGGACGCUUGUUCUCUGUCAUGCCUCAUGAUAAUUUUUGUACAUUUCUUAAAGGAAACUUAGUCUUCUUUCGGGGAAGUCUUUUAAUCCAGAAGACUUCAGGAAAGAAAGAGUUAGUAUAAGGAGUUUGGUUUUGGUUGUUUUUUUAAAGGAGAGUUUAGAGGAACUCUUUCCUUGGGAGGAGUUAACUUUUUUUCUGUUUUCUCUGAGUUGUGUGGGUAUCACACUGAGAGUUAUUACAGUUGCUGGAGUUGACACUCAUAUUAGCUGUUGCAUAUUUAUGYAUGUUAAGGGGGGAGAUGAGCAGUCAUUCAUAUUGAAUCAGUUAUAUUUAAAUCUAAGAUGGAUGUUUUUAUUAACAAUAAUAUUCCCCAUAUAAAGUAUAUACUUAGUGGCAGCCAAAUCUGCAGUUCAGUGAAUGUUUGCAAAAGAGCAAGGAGUAGAGAAAAGCAGCAGCAAUACAUUUUCAUCUCUUGGAAAACUCAUUACACAAGUCAUAUCCAGUGCGCUCAGAAAUCAGCUUUGGUAGUAACCACUCUAAAGCAGUAUCUCCCUUUUUAAUGGGCAUAAUUUGUUGGUAUAAUAUAAAUAAGAUUUGAAAAUGUAAGUGUCCCUGGAGUUCUUGGGUCAGAUAUAAAUUCUUUUAUAAAUCGGAAUGUUAUGUUUGGAGUUAUUCCAUUUAGAACCUCCAAAUUUAUUAGACAAAAAAUUUAGGAAGCUUAGAAGAGCUCCAGUGGAAAAUUAUGCUCUCCUAGUAGGUAAGGCACUUUAAAUGAUUCAGACUUUGCAUUAUUGUAGUAAAUAUUCAGAAGGCUAUUUUUUUUUGUUUAAUAAAGUUAAUACUGCUUAAUGUGCUUACA
Dromaius novaehollandiae (emu) is the source of this 1710-nucleotide long non-coding RNA. The record is from Ensembl. NCBI's taxonomy places the organism in Eukaryota, Metazoa, Chordata, Aves, Casuariiformes, Dromaiidae.